Molecule: ribosomal RNA, 1212 nt
Filed under: Triticum aestivum (bread wheat)
Lineage: Eukaryota; Viridiplantae; Streptophyta; Magnoliopsida; Poales; Poaceae
Description: partial small subunit ribosomal RNA
Source: RNAcentral
AUGACAUGCCUGCUCGUGCCGGCUGUCGCAUGCGCUGCCCCCGCCCCCGCCGGACAUAAAACCACCGGCCACGGUCGCCCGCAGCCCAAGAUAAGGGUGACGCGUGGCGUGAGAAGCAAGGUGUCUGCUGCCAGGGCCGGAAUGGACGGAGGUACGUCGGCGCCGCCGCCUGAGCCGGCCAUCGCGCCGGACGCCGUCAUCAACCUCGAGCUCGGCGACCCGACCAUGUACGAGGCGUUCUGGAGGGAGGUCGGGGAGCGGGCGGCGGUGGCGAUCCCGGGGUGGUCGGGGAUGAGCUACUUCUCCAAUGCCCAGAGCCUCUGCUGGUUCCUCGACCCGGAGUUCGAGCGCGAGGUCCGCCGCGUCCACCGCCUCGUCGGCAACGCCGCCGUCGACGACGGCUACCACCUCGUGGUCGGCACCGGCGCCACCCAGCUCUUCCAGGCGGCCAUGUACGCCCUGUCUCCCGCCGGCGCCCAAUGGCCCGUCGGCGUCGUCUCGCCGGCGCCCUACUACUCGUCGUACCCGCCGCAGACGGACCUGCUGCUCUCGGGGUUCUACCGGUGGGCCGGCGACGCCAACGCGUUCGACGGCGACGGCCACAUCGAGCUGGUCUGCUCGCCCAACAACCCGGACGGCGCCAUCCGCGAGGCCGUCCUGAGCUCCGAGUCCGGCAAGGCGAUCCACGACCUGGUCACUGGCCACGCCGGCGCCAGGCUCGGGUGGGCGCUCGUCAAGGACCGCGACGUGGCCAAGAAGAUGGUCUACUUCGUGGACCGGAGCACCAUCGGCGUGUCCAAGGACUCGCAGCUCCGCGGCGCCAAGAUCCUCGCCGUCGUCUCCGACGCCUACGGACCCGACGAGGAGGACGACACGCGGCUCCGGCUCUUCGACUUCGCGCGCCGUCGCAUGGAGGAGCGCUGGCGGGCCCUGCGCGCCGCCGUGGCGGCCACCGGCGCCUUCAGCCUCCCGGAGGAGACCGCCGGCCACUGCAACUUCAGCAGGCAAACCGUGGCAGCUUACCCCGCGUUCGCGUGGCUGCGCUGCGAGAAGGAUGGCGUGGAGGACUGCGCCGAGUUCCUCCGCGGCCACGGCAUCGUGGCGCGGGGAGGGGAGCAGUUCGGGGGAGACGCCAGGUGCGUCAGGGUCAACAUGCUGGACAGGGACGGUGUGUUCGACGUGCUCAUAGACCGCCUCUUCUCCAUAACAUGA